Molecule: microRNA precursor, 205 nt
Filed under: Oryza barthii
Lineage: Eukaryota; Viridiplantae; Streptophyta; Magnoliopsida; Poales; Poaceae
Description: MIR812 microRNA precursor family
Rfam family: MIR812 microRNA precursor family
Source: Rfam by way of RNAcentral
AAUAUGUGACGCCGUUGAAUUUUUAAAACAUGUUUGACCGUUCGUCUUAUUCAAAAAACUUAUCUAAUUAUUAAUUAUUUUCCUAUCAUUUGAUUUAUUGUUAAAUAUAAUUUUAUGUAUACAUAUAGUUUUAUAUAUUUCACAAAAGUUUUUGAAUAAGACGAACAAUCAAACAUGUUUAAAAAAGUCAACGGCGUCAAAUAUU